Molecule: unclassified non-coding RNA, 587 nt
Filed under: Carex phyllostachys
Lineage: Eukaryota; Viridiplantae; Streptophyta; Magnoliopsida; Poales; Cyperaceae
Description: partial external transcribed spacer 1
Source: RNAcentral
UUCUGGACUUGCUCUGCAUGUCGGGCUCCCUGCACAUUUGGUGCGGCCAACCGACAUGGGGCUGUCUCUUCACUCUCCCUCCUGUCAUUGAAUUUGUCGGGGUGGGAUGCUUGUGAUCGGUUGCCUGUGCGGUUCUACCCUCUUGUGGGUAGCGAAGUCGUCCCUUGAUGGAUAUUUGCUUGCCCUGCGGACAUUUGUGUCGUUCGGGCAGCCGAAAUGUUGGCGAAAUCCCUGUGUUGGUGUACGGUUCAAUGCCGUGUUGCCAUCACUUGCAUUUCUGCCGGCUCUCACGGAUGCGGUGCCUAGUGCUAGCUCUGCGGGGCUCUGUCUCGCAGACUUCGGGAGGUCCCUUGUACGAAUCAUUGCUCUUAUACGCCGUCUCGUGUGUUGCCGCUGGUGGCAUGCAGAUCGUGUUCUGCCGUGUUGUCAUUGGCGACAUGUCAGAACAAAGUGUCCGGAGCGUGGUUGCGUGCAUGCGGAAUGCCUCUCUGUCCGUGUAAGCAGCGAUUUCCGGUUUGUGUCGUGCGAAGGCCCGCCCGUCCGGGUUGGUGCUGGAGCCGAUGCGCCGGCUCUCGUUUAAGACGUGC